UUGGAAAUGGGCGCAAGCCUGAUCCAGCAAUGCCGCGUGUGUGAAGAAGGCCUUCGGGUUGUAAAGCACUUUUAUCAGGAGCGAAAUGCUAUCGGCUAAUACCCGGUGGAGCUGACGGUACCUGAGGAAUAAGCACCGGCUAACUUCGUGCCAGCAGCCGCGGUAAUACGAAGGGUGCAAGCGUUAAUCGGAAUUACUGGGCGUAAAGGGUGCGUAGGCGGUUAUUUAAGUCUGCCGUGAAAUCCCCGGGCUCAACCUGGGAAUGGCGGUGGAUACUGGAUAGCUAGAGUGUGUCAGAGGAUGGUGGAAUUCCCGGUGUAGCGGUGAAAUGCGUAGAGAUCGGGAGGAACAUCAGUGGCGAAGGCGGCCAUCUGGGACAACACUGACGCUGAAGCACGAAAGCGUGGGGAGCAAACAGGAUUAGAUACCCUGGUAGUCCACGCCCUAAACGAUGCGAACUGGAUGUUGGUCU
Molecule: ribosomal RNA, 472 nt
Filed under: uncultured bacterium
Lineage: Bacteria
Description: bacterial SSU rRNA
Rfam family: Bacterial small subunit ribosomal RNA
Source: RNAcentral